This 71-nucleotide transfer RNA is filed under the name Marmota monax (woodchuck). RNAcentral's name for it is "tRNA.Ala". Lineage: Eukaryota; Metazoa; Chordata; Mammalia; Rodentia; Sciuridae. The record is from RNAcentral.
GGGGUUGUGGCUCCACGGUAGAGCGCCCACCUAGCACAUGUGAGGCCCUGGGUUCGAACCUCAGCACCACA